AUGAUCCACCAAGCUAUACUUAUAAUGCAUAUGCCCAUGCAGGUUCUCGACUUUGCUGCUUUCUCUGAACCUGAAUACGAUCUUCCUAUAUUUUGUGCCAACGCUUUUACGACUCCUGCACAGAGUAUCGUUGUCUUGGACCUCAAUCCGCUAUACGAUAUAACUGAAGACAAGGAUUACAAAGAUAAAUACUACAGGAAUUUGAUGCCCCUUAUGCAGAAGUAUAGUGAGCUUCUGCCAUGGGGUGGCAAGAUUACGAGCGAAUCUCUGAGAUUCUUCUCUCCAAUCGUGAUCUGGACUAUAUUUGAGCCCACUGAACGCAACCAUCAUGUUCUAUAUUCAGCUUUGCUGGAUUACUAUAAGGUUUGGCUUCAGUUAACGGAUCAAGCAACUGAAGAGAAUGACACAACGAAAGUUGUUCGUAACAGAGAAGCGCAACAUAGAUAUCUCACAUGGAGGGCUGAAAAGGAUCCUGGGUUUCCACUUCUGAAGAAGUUGAUUGGUGAAAGCCAUGCCAAGGAUUUGGUGACGGAGUUCCUGUUCGAAGGAGUGUAUUCUCUUGGAAGUAAAUCUUUCCUGGACUAUUUCCCCGAGUACGCGCGUGACGACGGGACAGUAAACAAGAAGAGGAGUAUGAUCGGGAAAUCUUUCGAAGCUAGGCCUUGGGAUGCUACCGGAGAAUUCAUUGGUGGCAAGGAUGCAGGAUGA
RNAcentral lists this ribosomal RNA (708 nucleotides) under Triticum aestivum (bread wheat). RNAcentral's name for it is "partial small subunit ribosomal RNA". Lineage: Eukaryota; Viridiplantae; Streptophyta; Magnoliopsida; Poales; Poaceae. The record is from RNAcentral.